Molecule: ribosomal RNA, 404 nt
Filed under: Helleria brevicornis
Lineage: Eukaryota; Metazoa; Arthropoda; Malacostraca; Isopoda; Tylidae
Description: 16S ribosomal RNA
Source: RNAcentral
UGUGCAAAGGUAGCCUAAUCAUUAGUCUUUUAAUUGAAGGCUGGUAUGAAUGGUUGGCCGAGAUAUUAACUGUUUCAUAAAAAUUUAUAAUAUGAAUUUUAUUUUUUAGUUAAAAAGCUAAAAUAUAUUUAAAAGACGAGAAGACCCUAUAAAUCUUUAUAUUUAAGUUAUUAUAAUUUUAUAGAUUUUUUUUGUUGUAAUAAUUAUAAUAUUUUAUUGGGGUGAUGUUAAAAUUUAAUAAACUUUUAAUUUUAAAGGUCAUUAAUUUAUGAAUAAUUGAUCCAUUAUUAGUGAUUAAAAAAAUAAGUUACUUUAGGGAUAACAGCGUAAUUUUUUUGGAGAGUUCAUAUUGAUAAAAAAGAUUGCGACCUCGAUGUUGGAUUAAGAUAUAAUUUUAGGUGUAG